Microcebus murinus (gray mouse lemur) is the source of this 202-nucleotide non-coding RNA. The record is from RefSeq and is a predicted model, not a curated record. NCBI's taxonomy places the organism in Eukaryota, Metazoa, Chordata, Mammalia, Primates, Cheirogaleidae.
CAAGUCCAAAUUAUAAUCCUUUCACAUGGAUGUUUUUCCUGGUUUCAUGUCCUAACUACACCUAUGAGAUUGGAUCAUGGGUUAGUUUCACAGUCAUGACACAGACAUUGCCAGUUGGAAUUUUUACACUUCUGAUGAGUAUCCAGAUGUCUUUCUGGGCAAAAAAGAAGCAUAAGAUUUAUUUGAAGAAAUUCAAUUCAUA